Molecule: long non-coding RNA, 601 nt
Filed under: Malus domestica (apple)
Lineage: Eukaryota; Viridiplantae; Streptophyta; Magnoliopsida; Rosales; Rosaceae
Description: long non-coding RNA (MDOM_LNC015327)
Source: RNAcentral
UCUUAAGUGUUGAUUGUUGAAGUAAGGGUCCAAAACAUUGAAUUUGACCCUAAAUAUUGCAUGAAUCUUCCCUUGUGUUUAAAAGUUGAUUUUUGCAUUCAAAAGGGAAUUCUAAGUGUCAAUUUCAUUGCUUUGCUUACGAUUGCUUUAAGAACGUUUGUUUAUCCUUACCUUUCUUUGUUAGCCAAUACCCUUAGCCCUAUUACAACCCUUAACUUCUAUCUUGAGUGUUGUGUGUUUCAAUUUGUGGAGUUUGGAGUUGGUAUGAGCAUAUGGUGUCACUGGUUCUCGCAUCUAAGUAGUAGCAUUUCAUUCAUGAGAUCAUAUACAUGCUUAUUUAUUCCAGAAAAAGCCUUCUUGUUAUAUUGUAUGUGAGUGCUAGUUUUCAUAUUUACAUCAAUCCUCUCACAUAUAACUAGUAUAGGGUGUGUAGUCAGAAAAUAUGUGUGAAAAUUGAGUGCAUAUCUAGUAAGGAAUUGAGCAAAUUCUCUAAGGCAUGUUACUACACUCAAAAUCAUGUUUUAAUUGGUUGAAUGUGAACUAGUACGUAGUGACUAUGAUUAAGUAUGUGCUUAAGUGUGAAGAUGACUAAAAUCUGUGG